Misgurnus anguillicaudatus (oriental weatherfish) is the source of this 3375-nucleotide non-coding RNA. The record is from RefSeq and is a predicted model, not a curated record. Lineage: Eukaryota; Metazoa; Chordata; Actinopteri; Cypriniformes; Cobitidae.
GUGAAUGUAUGUGCUAAGUUUAAAUAUGCGGUCGGUUAAUAAAGAUAGCGUCUAUUUAAAAAUGUGCUCGGACACUUUCGGACGUAGAUGAGCUCCAUAUGAGCUCCAGAAAAUCACAGACACUUAAGCGCUCACACCCCGCCCAGCGCAGCCUCUCCUCGGCAAGCCCAUCAGACUGCUGGCUCUGAUAUCUCUGUGGCGUUUAAACAUGUGAUUUAAUUCAUUUUGAUUUCUCAUACUUAACAAUGAAAGGGUUAUGUUUUAAAUCAUAUUUUAGGAUUGCACUUAAUUGAUAUUGCUGUUGAGUGAUGUUUCAUAUCUUUUACAUUUGUUAUAACCGGACUGCAUGCGAAUUUGAACUUCAGAGCUGAAGGAGCGGGUGGAGAAAUAGUCCCAAUAUCAUAACAAUCUUAAAUAAAACUUCUAAAUAUGCCCGUGUGUGUACCCGUGUGCGCGCGCGCGCGUGCGCGCGACCCGCUCACGCGCGCGUGUGUAUGUACAGUAUGUGCGUGAGUUUUUAAUUUAAAAUGUCUUAACUUAACUCGGAAGGAUCUGAAUGACAGGUCAUUUCAUCUGAGAUCAUUCCGCAUGUAACAGCCGGAAUCACUCACUGUUUCCCACAACGACACGAGUCAUCAGCCGUUUCCUCAAGGUCACGUCAGGUAAGUGUUUGUAAAUAAAUGUUAAUUUUAGACUAUAUUAAUUGGCAAAGACGCAAAUACUCGACGUUUUUGUAAACAUAUAAGUUAUAUAAAGGUGUGUUAUGUUAUGUGACCGACUUAAAGUGUGUGUUACGUUAUGUGUCCGAGUUAAAGUGGAGCUAUUUUAGUUAAGAUAAUACCGGACAGGGUUUAGGACUCCGUCUUAAUUAUAAUUGGGACAUUUUUACAAACAAACCUUAUAAAAUACAAUACUAGUGUGCAUUUUGAGACAAAACAAUAGCACUCAUAUGUUAACAGAUGUCAGUAUUUUAGUCAGUGAUAAGUCCUGUCCGAGAAAACCGCCCAAUAGUGUUUAAUUCAAUUACGUGUGAUGUCUGAGGGAAACUUGGCAAUUUUAGGGUAUAAAAUCUUUCACCGUCAAGCUUUAUUAUAUUAAACAUGUUAUUUAUGUAUGUGUGUGUGUUUAUAUUCCUCUGUUUAUUAAACCAGAGGGGUGGUGAUGUGGAGAGGCAGACCAGACCACCACCAUACGCGAAGAUGAGCCUCGAGGCGUGACAGUUAUUUUUUCAAACUGAGGAGUUCGGACUCCGGACCGUCAUUUCUGCUUGUUUGUACCCUGAGACAACCAUGGUUAAUAAAUGGUCAGACACGUCACUGGCUUUAAAAUAUAAACCCCAUUGAUGCAAAAAGAUGCUGCAUGGAAUGACAAUGUGGUUUGGAACAGACUUGGUGAAGCACAUGGAAACAUCUCUUAAUAAAAUGGCCCCAAACAUCAUCAGGAGUGCAAAAGAAGGAAGUAAAAACAUCUCUACGCCAAUCUCAUUGGAGAGGAAACCACAGAAGGUCUGGUGAGGAAUGCUGCACUUAUGUUAUUGCAAGCAUUAUUUCAAGAAAAUCCCAGCUUCCUUGACUGUGUAAAUAGUGAACCCAAAGGUCCCACACCAACCAUAGUGUUCAACGGCUCUCCUGAUCUUUUCAAAUCUGAAUGUAUCAACUUUAUAAUGGACAAUGUGAACUUAAUAUGUGGAAGACAUUGACAUCACAGGCUGUGGAAUGACUGUGUCACAGGUCGGAGAAGCGGACCGCCCCUGUCGCGGUCACGCUCCUCCUAGUUCCACCUCGAGGAGGUCCCAAAGCACCCCAAUGACCAGACAAACCAGAGGUAAGUAAAAUAUAGAAAUAGAAACUUUAUUUAAAUUAUUUAAAACUAAAGUGGGGAAUGGGAAAGGGAAUCUAAAAAUCUCGCUUCUCGCCCUCAGGGGGAGUAUUACGGGGCCAGGGACGUUGGAGGGGUUUCCACGUGACUCCAGCUGGAACACCGCUACAGAGCGUAUCUGGGUGGGUUGGGCACACACCGUCGCGCCGGCCCCUGAUGGCAUCCACAAGGGUCCAAGACCCUCCUAAGCUCCUAGCCGUAGCAGAACUACGUAUUUCAGCACCCGAAGGACUAACAACCCAGCCGGCAUCUGCAGCGUAUAUCCAACGCGAUCAAACUUCACUCUGACAAGUAACUUCCUAUACACAACCACGCCGUCCUUUCGCCCGGACCAGCCCCGCACUCUUUCCGCCCGCUACCUAGCGGUCGCCGGAUCAGCAGAGCCUGCGGACUCUUCGGAGGCUGGUCUUCGUUGUGCUGCCCAAGGCGGAAGUUGACCCGCCCGAAAAUCGACCCUUCCAGUAACUUCUACCUUCUCUCUUUAUAUCCUCCUCCCAGGCGUGGCUCGCCCAACCAUCGCUCGCCACGUCACUCACACAGCUGUGCCUUGUUUCAGCGAGUGCGGGGAUUCCCGGGGAACCCUGAAGUGCCGGUGUCUGUACAAACCGGUCCGGGCGGAACCUCUUCACUCUCCUUUUGGUUCUGCCCCGCAUAGUCACUCCGUGACAACUGUUUGCGUUUUUUUUUCUCCUCAAUGUUCAAUACUCUUUUGCCAUUAAGCACACAGUGACUUUAAUUUAUAAAAUAUAUGCUUAAGUUUUAAUACCUGUACAAAACAAAUGUACAAUCAACUUGUGUAAAUUGUCAUUCUAUUUAAUAGAUUGUUCAUGAAUUGUCUUUAAAUGCAUUGUGAUUUCGGUAACACUUUACAAUAAAGUUCAUUAGUUAACAUUAGUUAAUGUAUUAACUAACUUGAACAAACCAUAAGCAAUACAUUUGUUACAGUAUUUAUUCAUCUUUGUUAAUGUUAGUUAAUAAAAAUUUAAGCUUUAAUUGCUUGUUCAUGUUAGUUCAGAGUGCAUUAACUAAUGUUAACAAGAUUUUAAUAAAGUAAUUGUUGAAAUUAACAUUAACAAAGAUUAAUAAAGGCUGUAUAAGUGCAGUUCAUUAUUAGUUCAUGUUAACUAAUGUAGCUAACUAAUGUUAACUAAUGAACCUUAUUGUAAAGUGUUACCGUGAUUUUUUUUAAUUAUUUCAGACACAUGUAAAAGUUACUAAAAAUUAAUACUGCAUAUACUGUACAGUAUCUAUGCGUAAGGGAAAUAACUUAAACAAAAUUUUUAAUGUAUAGUGUAAUUAAGAGUUUAGCUGUUUAAUACAGAGAUGCAAUUUAUUUAUAUAUAUUAUUUAUAUAUAAACGUAUGUAUGUUUAUUAAAAAGUGAAAAUGCUUAAUGGAAAUAAUUAAAUAACUAAAUGGUUGAAUGUAAUGAGACAUUUUAAAUGUAAACUAAAGUUUUGCUGUCUAAUACAGAAUAAAGAGAUGUGAUUUUAAGUAA